This 253-nucleotide long non-coding RNA is filed under the name Elaeis guineensis (African oil palm). RNAcentral describes it as "long non-coding RNA (EGUI_LNC036075)". Lineage: Eukaryota; Viridiplantae; Streptophyta; Magnoliopsida; Arecales; Arecaceae. The record is from RNAcentral.
GAAGUUUGUUGGAUAUGUGCCCUAUAAGCCAAUCUUGACUGACACAUACUUUUCUCCAGUGCAUAUUUUGUACUUAUUGGACAGUUUUAAUAACCAAUCAUGUUUAUGUGUCCAUGAUUUAUCCUAAAAAUUAACAAAAAUAAUUUUAUAUAUUCUCAAGAUGUUGAGAAUUUGAGACAUACAUCAUUAGUGGUUAAUUUUUAAAUGCUCCCGAUCGAAGGAUCGUCACAGAGGACAGUGAUUAAUCCAUUCG